Long non-coding RNA from Beta vulgaris subsp. vulgaris (sugar beet), 2994 nucleotides. RefSeq lists it as uncharacterized. The transcript is spliced from 6 exons. Lineage: Eukaryota; Viridiplantae; Streptophyta; Magnoliopsida; Caryophyllales; Amaranthaceae. The record is from RefSeq and is a predicted model, not a curated record.
GAACAUGCCCUACAGCUAAAAGUUUCUCAGAGCGAGAAAGCUCACCUCAAAUUACCGUCUUCUCCGCAUCACAAUUCCAUGGCGGGGUUUGAAAAGUGAAAACACUUUCGUUGGAGGGAACUUGAAAAAAGAGCGGCAAAACAUGAAACAUCAAAACCCCAAACACGCUCUCUCUAGUCUCUUCCCUCCAUUAAUCUUCAUCAGUUUCUCUCUCCUCUCUCUUUUCCGAAUUAACUUCCUCUCCUUCGUUCGCCGCUUCCAUGGCGGCGCCUUUGAAACUUCUUCAUUCAGAAGCUCAUUUUCAUGAGCAGAUUCAAGGUGUAAUUGAACCAACUUAGAUGCCAGUCAUUUAGUCAAUGCUUGGCACAUGUUUGUUAUUUCAAGGAUUGAUGGCGAGCAUUUCAACUUGACAUUCAAACAUUUCGGUAUUUGCUGAUAAAUCAUUCAGUGGUGAUCUUUUCUGGCUUCAACUUUACAAGGAUGCUUCUUUGAGGAAGCUGAAAGCUGUUGAACCUUCUGCAUGAUGUUUUUCUGAAAUCUUGUAGGAUUGCCUUUGUGACUGCAUAACCAUCUUCUCACCUUCAAGAACAUAGAAAGAGCGCAAAUUUUCAGCAAAAGGUCCUGGUAUGCUGUCUGGACUUUUUUCCUGUGCAACAUGUUGCACUGCUGAUUCUGUAGUUACAUUGCUUUGUUCUGUUGGUGUACUGUUCUCAUCUUUUAUUGAUGUAUUGUAUGGUCUGCUCUCUACUUCCAACAUCUCAAGGCCUUUGGUGCCCGAUAAUUGAAAAUUUAGAUUUAGCAGGUUGUCGUUUGAGCAGACUCCUUGUGGUUGUGGAGAACAUUUUGUGGUAUGAUUCAUACAUCCUGGUUGAUCAUGCUGAGUUUGACUGUAAGCUUCAUGAAGGAAGGGACUCUCUGCCAUCUUUAGAAGUCCCAUAAAUGAGGUGGAGCAAUCAAAAUAAUUUGAUUGGGAGCUGGUAGUCAGAGGCUGUGUUCUUGAGUCGCUUUCUGAAAAAAUGCUCAUUAGUCCAACUGUCUGCAUAUUUGGAGAGUUGGUGGAGUUCUGGGACGACAUUACUGAGUGCUGUGAUGAAGUUGCAUCAUCUUUUGCUCUAUCAUCUCCUAAGAUACUUGCUGUUUCUGCAGUCUGGCUAUUUGCAUUAUCAACUAUUGAGUUAUUGGGGGCUUUUUGACUGCUUUCACUAGAAUAAUCCUUUGGGCUAACUGAACCAGGAGCUCUUCCAGUUAGUUCUUUGCUGUUGACAACUUCCUUCUCUUCACUGUGGUCCAUGUCAUGCAUAAUUCUAGAAUUCCUGCUGAAAUUUUGUUGAUCCACUGCCUUCUCGUUCCAGGUGAUGCUUGCCUCAGGUUCUAUUAUGCAAACAUCUGGUUCUACAACCAAAGCAGUUGUUGACUCCUCUGAAAGGCUACUUUCACUGCCUUCUGACUUGAGAGGAAAAUGAGCAGCGAGUGACAUGAAAGCAGAGCUGCAAACAAAAUGGUCUAAGAUACAACUUAUUCAGGGCAUAUUUGGAUUGGGGGUAUUGUAUUAAGUGGGUAACAAGAGAAAAUAAUGAGAAUAAAAAUGACGAUGGGUGGAGCAGGAGGUGGUUGUAGUUGUUGAGGGAGGAGGAAGGUGUGGGGUUAUUGUUCCCUUCAAAUGAGGGUGAUAGUUCCUCAUCCCUCUUGCAACCACGAUUAUCGCAUUUCCAUCUUCUCUUUAUUUUCUCUUUCCACCCCUUAAUUUUCUACCACCAAUCAUGCCGUCAAUGGAAUAGAUAUCCGGGAAUUUCAGCGUGAUCUUACCUAGAGAGAUGAUCUGAUACAUUCUGAGUAAGAAAAACUCCAAUGACAGAGUCCAAAACAGAUCCUUUCCACGGGGUGAAGCGUCUAUCUCCUGCGUGAAAGAACAGUAUAUGUUAGUGAUUGAUGAUAUUACUCUGGGUGAAGGUACAUUCAAGUAUACUGUAAUAUAAAUGUUUUCAUAGUUUCUGUCCUCAAAUCGUGACAUGCCAUCAAUUAGUAUUGAUGUCUAGUGAAUGGCAUGUCCAAUUUCCAAAAUUGAAGUUGCUUCACCUCUGCCAACAGUAUAUAGAAUGUAUCCAUAGGUGACAUAGUUGUGAUGGAAAAUUAACUGAAUUAUUCUUAUUUCCUGCUGACUAACAAGUAUUUCACAUAGUUCAAGCAUCGACCUUAUGUUUUUGUCUACAUUAAAAUCUGCACAUUGUUAAGAGGCUUAUUUUUCUUAGAAAUUCGGAAUUUACAAGAUUGCAAUGCCAGCCCAGUGGAAAUGUACUCGAGGUGCAGAGAUGAUUCCCAAGUAUUGAAGUAUGGAUAACUACUCUGAGCUGCCGCUGGAAGAGGCGGCGGCGGCUGCGGCUGAUGCUGAUGCUGCUGUUGCUGUUGCUGUGGUGGCUGGUUUGGUGUAGGAUAAGUUACUUUUGUCCUCCUGCCUUGGCUACUCCAACGAGGCAAAUAAUCCUCUAAACCCCUUCUUUGCAUUUCUACAUUUUCUCUCUCUAAAUUUAUUCUAUCACCAUGAUUAACAUCCCAAAAAUUAUUAUUACUACUACUUGGGAUGCAUUCUGCAGAACUUAUUGAAUAAGAUAAAAGAGUUUGAGCCUGAUUUUGAUGUGCAAAUCUUGACAAAUAAUUUUCAAUCUCAUCAUUUUCAUAGAUCGGUCCAAGAUGAGGCUUCACUGGGGUUGAUGGAACCCAGGAAUUCACCUGGAAAUCUUUUACCAUUGGAACUGAUUUUCCAUUGUGAGUUUCCAUGAUUUACUUCUUUGGAAACUCCCAAUAAAAAAAAAAUUGGUAAAAAAAAAAAAAAAACACAAGCCACUUUUCUUUCUUCUCUUCCUUUUCUUAUGUUGUUCUUUUAUUUGUGCAGUUAGAUGGGUUGUUGGAGAAAAAUUGACCAAAAUAAUUUCUCCUCAAAAAACUAUGCUCUCCUCCAAAAUCUCCUUCAGGUUGAACCCAUUUGCCUUAAUUACC